This 301-nucleotide ribosomal RNA is filed under the name uncultured bacterium. RNAcentral describes it as "partial 16S ribosomal RNA". It matches the Rfam family "Bacterial small subunit ribosomal RNA", at positions 509 to 809 of the family's 1533-position model. The record is from RNAcentral.
CAGUAGCCGCGGUAAUACGGAGGGCGCGAGCGUUACCCGGAUUUACUGGGCGUAAAGGGCGUGUAGGCGGCCUGGGGCGUCCCAUGUGAAAGGCCACGGCUCAACCGUGGAGGAGCGUGGGAUACGCUCAGGCUAGAGGGUGGGAGAGGGUGGUGGAAUUCCCGGAGUAGCGGUGAAAUGCGCAGAUACCGGGAGGAACGCCGAUGGCGAAGGCAGCCACCUGGUCCACUUCUGACGCUGAGGCACGAAAGCGUGGGGAGCAAACAGGAUUAGAUACCCCCGUAGUCCCUGUCUCUUAUAA